Long non-coding RNA from Gossypium raimondii (Peruvian cotton), 959 nucleotides. RefSeq lists it as uncharacterized. The record is from RefSeq and is a predicted model, not a curated record. The transcript has 2 exons. Lineage: Eukaryota; Viridiplantae; Streptophyta; Magnoliopsida; Malvales; Malvaceae.
UUCGAUCCAAGAAUCCUCACAAAAAAGUUGUUUCCUUCGGAAACCUUAACGAUCACGGCCAGUUUCCAACAUAGCUCGUCGAACACCUCCAUGACGUCGCCAGGAACUCAAUCAUCGGUCUCGUUUAUAGGAGAAGGGCAAGGCCUAAUCGCUUUCCUAGGGACUCUCUCCACAUUCGCCGCCUCUCCAGUGAUCGAAAACCAACCGUACUUCACGCUAUAAGUGUGGCCAUUACCAGAGAUGAUCUCGGCACAAUGCCAUGCGUCGGUUGGAACCUCCUUCCUGGUUAAUACCUCCACUUUGUUAGCUUUUUUGAAUCUCAUGAUUGACAAAUUUGAUUAAAAAAAAAAGAAUCGCAGGGAUUGUUGAAGGCAAAUUUGUGAAAGAAAUCAAAGAAAGAACCAUUUUGGGAAAAAAGAGUUAAAAUGGAGACUAUAUAGGGGUUCUCGGAUAUCAUUUCCUCCAUGGCUUGAUCAUUUAGCCUUUGCCUAGACUUGGGACUUAGGCUCCCACAAUCAUCGUAUGUAACAUCCCGCCCGAUGUAGUCUAGGGUAUUUGAGUACUGUUUAUAGAAUAAAAUGUUAAAGAACUCGCUAAGUGCUUGAGGACUAUGAGUACGCCCUCGGUGAAUUCCAUAUUAAGGCGAGCCUGGUGGUUGGCGAAGCUCCUUUGCAGAGUACAUAUCACCCCAGUUAAGAGACGAUUAAUGCUUAUUUUUUCGUAUGGUUAGUUUUAUUAUUUUGGUUGAACUAGAUAAUUGACCUGGAGAAGGUUAGUUAGAAUUAGACGAGAUAUUAAUAAAAGAGAGAAAAUUAUUAGUCACAGUUGUCGAAGGAGGGGUAGUGGGGAGAAUGAACUUGCCCACUAAAUUUUUCCCUCGUGCAUGCAUGUAUAAAGUCAGUAUUGGCUUCUUAACCAAACUUUAUGUUUUCCUUGGCAAACUUUACUUUCUCUUUGAA